This 253-nucleotide ribosomal RNA is filed under the name uncultured bacterium. RNAcentral describes it as "partial 16S ribosomal RNA". It matches the Rfam family "Bacterial small subunit ribosomal RNA", at positions 524 to 776 of the family's 1533-position model. The record is from RNAcentral.
UACGAAGGGGACUAGCGUUGUUCGGAAUUACUGGGCGUAAAGCGCACGUAGGCGGAUUUGUAAGUCAGGGGUGAAAUCCCGGGGCUCAACCUCGGAACUGCCUUUGAUACUGCAAAUCUCGAGUCCGAUAGAGGUAGGUGGAAUUCCUAGUGUAGAGGUGAAAUUCGUAGAUAUUAGGAAGAACACCGGUGGCGAAGGCGGCCCACUGGAUCGGUACUGACGCUGAGGUGCGAAAGCGUGGGGAGCAAACAGG